This 804-nucleotide ribosomal RNA is filed under the name Triticum aestivum (bread wheat). RNAcentral describes it as "partial small subunit ribosomal RNA". The record is from RNAcentral. Lineage: Eukaryota; Viridiplantae; Streptophyta; Magnoliopsida; Poales; Poaceae.
AUGUCGAGGCCGAGGCUGGACGGCAAGGUGGCCAUCGUCACGGGCGGCGCGAGCGGCAUCGGCGAGGCGGCGGCGCGGCUCUUCGCGGCCAGCGGCGCCACGGUGGUCAUCGCCGACAUCCAGGACGCGCUGGGCGAGGCGGUGGCGGCCUCCAUCGCGGAGUCCGGCGCGUGCUGCACGUACGCGCGGUGCGACGUGACGGACGAGGCCCAGGUGGAGGCGACGGUGGCGGCGGCCGUGGCGGCACACGGCCGCCUCGACGUCAUGCUCAGCAACGCCGGCGUGCUGCUCCCGACGGGCCCCGUCACGGAGAUGGACCUGUCCGCGCUCGACCGCGUCAUGGCCGUCAACUUCCGGGGCGCGGCGGCGUGCGUCAAGCACGCGGCGCGGGCCAUGGUGGCGGCCGGCGUCCGGGGCGCCAUCGUGUGCACGGGGAGCGUGGCGUGCGUGCAGGGCGGGUUCGGCCCGGCCUCCUACACGGCGUCCAAGCACGCGCUGCUGGGCCUGGUGCGCGCCGCGGCGGGCGAGCUCGGGCGGCACGGCGUGCGCGUCAACCUCGUGUCCCCCGGCGGCGUGGCCACGCCGCUCAGCUGCGCGGUGGUGGGCGUGGGCGCCGAGGAGAUGGAGGCCAUGACGGAGGCCCACAACGUGCUGCGCGGGAAGGUGCUGCGCGCGGCCGACGUGGCGGAGGCGGCGCUGUUCCUCGCGUCUGACCAGGCGGGCUUCAUCAGCGGCCACAACCUCGUCGUCGACGGCGCCACCACCGCCGUCAACCCCGCCGUGCUGCGCUCCAUCGGGCUGUGA